Molecule: ribosomal RNA, 2248 nt
Filed under: Escherichia coli
Lineage: Bacteria; Pseudomonadati; Pseudomonadota; Gammaproteobacteria; Enterobacterales; Enterobacteriaceae
Description: bacterial LSU rRNA
Rfam family: Bacterial large subunit ribosomal RNA
Source: RNAcentral
UGACUGCGUACCUUUUGUAUAAUGGGUCAGCGACUUAUAUUCUGUAGCAAGGUUAACCGAAUAGGGGAGCCGAAGGGAAACCGAGUCUUAACUGGGCGUUAAGUUGCAGGGUAUAGACCCGAAACCCGGUGAUCUAGCCAUGGGCAGGUUGAAGGUUGGGUAACACUAACUGGAGGACCGAACCGACUAAUGUUGAAAAAUUAGCGGAUGACUUGUGGCUGGGGGUGAAAGGCCAAUCAAACCGGGAGAUAGCUGGUUCUCCCCGAAAGCUAUUUAGGUAGCGCCUCGUGAAUUCAUCUCCGGGGGUAGAGCACUGUUUCGGCAAGGGGGUCAUCCCGACUUACCAACCCGAUGCAAACUGCGAAUACCGGAGAAUGUUAUCACGGGAGACACACGGCGGGUGCUAACGUCCGUCGUGAAGAGGGAAACAACCCAGACCGCCAGCUAAGGUCCCAAAGUCAUGGUUAAGUGGGAAACGAUGUGGGAAGGCCCAGACAGCCAGGAUGUUGGCUUAGAAGCAGCCAUCAUUUAAAGAAAGCGUAAUAGCUCACUGGUCGAGUCGGCCUGCGCGGAAGAUGUAACGGGGCUAAACCAUGCACCGAAGCUGCGGCAGCGACACUAUGUGUUGUUGGGUAGGGGAGCGUUCUGUAAGCCUGUGAAGGUGUACUGUGAGGUAUGCUGGAGGUAUCAGAAGUGCGAAUGCUGACAUAAGUAACGAUAAAGCGGGUGAAAAGCCCGCUCGCCGGAAGACCAAGGGUUCCUGUCCAACGUUAAUCGGGGCAGGGUGAGUCGACCCCUAAGGCGAGGCCGAAAGGCGUAGUCGAUGGGAAACAGGUUAAUAUUCCUGUACUUGGUGUUACUGCGAAGGGGGGACGGAGAAGGCUAUGUUGGCCGGGCGACGGUUGUCCCGGUUUAAGCGUGUAGGCUGAUUUUCCAGGCAAAUCCGGAAAAUCAAGGCUGAGGCGUGAUGACGAGGCACUACGGUGCUGAAGCAACAAAUGCCCUGCUUCCAGGAAAAGCCUCUAAGCAUCAGGUAACAUCAAAUCGUACCCCAAACCGACACAGGUGGUCAGGUAGAGAAUACCAAGGCGCUUGAGAGAACUCGGGUGAAGGAACUAGGCAAAAUGGUGCCGUAACUUCGGGAGAAGGCACGCUGAUAUGUAGGUGAAGCGACUUGCUCGUGGAGCUGAAAUCAGUCGAAGAUACCAGCUGGCUGCAACUGUUUAUUAAAAACACAGCACUGUGCAAACACGAAAGUGGACGUAUACGGUGUGACGCCUGCCCGGUGCCGGAAGGUUAAUUGAUGGGGUUAGCGGUAACGCGAAGCUCUUGAUCGAAGCCCCGGUAAACGGCGGCCGUAACUAUAACGGUCCUAAGGUAGCGAAAUUCCUUGUCGGGUAAGUUCCGACCUGCACGAAUGGCGUAAUGAUGGCCAGGCUGUCUCCACCCGAGACUCAGUGAAAUUGAACUCGCUGUGAAGAUGCAGUGUACCCGCGGCAAGACGGAAAGACCCCGUGAACCUUUACUAUAGCUUGACACUGAACAUUGAGCCUUGAUGUGUAGGAUAGGUGGGAGGCUUUGAAGUGUGGACGCCAGUCUGCAUGGAGCCGACCUUGAAAUACCACCCUUUAAUGUUUGAUGUUCUAACGUUGGCCCGUUAUCCGGGUUGCGGACAGUGUCUGGUGGGUAGUUUGACUGGGGCGGUCUCCUCCUAAAGAGUAACGGAGGAGCACGAAGGUUGGCUAAUCCUGGUCGGACAUCAGGAGGUUAGUGCAAUGGCAUAAGCCAGCUUGACUGCGAGCGUGACGGCGCGAGCAGGUGCGAAAGCAGGUCAUAGUGAUCCGGUGGUUCUGAAUGGAAGGGCCAUCGCUCAACGGAUAAAAGGUACUCCGGGGAUAACAGGCUGAUACCGCCCAAGAGUUCAUAUCGACGGCGGUGUUUGGCACCUCGAUGUCGGCUCAUCACAUCCUGGGGCUGAAGUAGGUCCCAAGGGUAUGGCUGUUCGCCAUUUAAAGUGGUACGCGAGCUGGGUUUAGAACGUCGUGAGACAGUUCGGUCCCUAUCUGCCGUGGGCGCUGGAGAACUGAGGGGGGCUGCUCCUAGUACGAGAGGACCGGAGUGGACGCAUCACUGGUGUUCGGGUUGUCAUGCCAAUGGCACUGCCCGGUAGCUAAAUGCGGAAGAGAUAAGUGCUGAAAGCAUCUAAGCACGAAACUUGCCCCGAGAUGAGUUCUCCCUGACUCCUUGA